This 610-nucleotide ribosomal RNA is filed under the name Marinobacter sp. Its description in RNAcentral is "bacterial SSU rRNA". It matches the Rfam family "Bacterial small subunit ribosomal RNA", at positions 43 to 646 of the family's 1533-position model. Lineage: Bacteria; Pseudomonadati; Pseudomonadota; Gammaproteobacteria; Pseudomonadales; Marinobacteraceae. The record is from RNAcentral.
CGGAGCUUACCAUGCAGUCGAGCGGUAACAGGGGGUGCUUGCACCCCGCUGACGAGCGGCGGACGGGUGAGUAAUGCAUAGGAAUCUGCCCAGUAGUGGGGGAUAGCCCGGGGAAACCCGGAUUAAUACCGCAUACGCCCUUUGGGGGAAAGCAGGGGAUCUUCGGACCUUGCGCUAUUGGAUGAGCCUAUGUCGGAUUAGCUAGUUGGUGGGGUAAAGGCCUACCAAGGCGACGAUCCGUAGCUGGUCUGAGAGGAUGAUCAGCCACAUCGGGACUGAGACACGGCCCGAACUCCUACGGGAGGCAGCAGUGGGGAAUAUUGGACAAUGGGGGCAACCCUGAUCCAGCCAUGCCGCGUGUGUGAAGAAGGCUUUCGGGUUGUAAAGCACUUUCAGUGAGGAGGAAAACCUUCUGGUUAAUACCCAUGAGGCUUGACGUUACUCACAGAAGAAGCACCGGCUAACUCCGUGCCAGCAGCCGCGGUAAUACGGAGGGUGCAAGCGUUAAUCGGAAUUACUGGGCGUAAAGCGCGCGUAGGUGGUUUGAUAAGCGAGAUGUGAAAGCCCCGGGCUUAACCUGGGAACGGCAUUUCGAACUGUCAGGCUAGAG